GACGAACGCUGGCGGCGUGCUUAACACAUGCCAGUCGAACGGAAAGGCCCUGCUUUUGUGGGGUGCUCGAGUGGCGAACGGGUGAGUAACACGUGAGUAACCUGCCCUUGACUUUGGGAUAACUUCAGGAAACUGGGGCUAAUCCCGGCUAGGAGCUCCUGCUGCAUGGUGGGGGUUGGAAGGUUUCGGCGGUUGGGGAUGGACUCGCGGCUUAUCAGCUUGUUGGUGGGGUAGUGGCUUACCAAGGCUUUGACGGGUAGCCGGCCUGAGAGGGUGACCGGCCACAUUGGGACUGAGAUACGGCCCAGACUCCUACGGGAGGCAGCAGUGGGGAAUAUUGCACAAUGGGCGGAAGCCUGAUGCAGCAACGCCGCGUGCGGGAUGACGGCCUUCGGGUUGUAAACCGCUUUCGCCUGUGACGAAGCGUGAGUGACGGUAAUGGGUAAAGAAGCACCGGCUAACUACGUG
This 468-nucleotide ribosomal RNA is filed under the name uncultured bacterium. Its description in RNAcentral is "partial 16S ribosomal RNA". It matches the Rfam family "Bacterial small subunit ribosomal RNA", at positions 28 to 507 of the family's 1533-position model. The record is from RNAcentral.